UUGGAAGUGAGACGCAGAUUAGAUAGCCAAGGGCUACCCUCAGAUGACCGAGGCAGGCACAGUCAUGUUUCGUCUUUGGACAUCAGUGGAAGACGAAGUCCAGGAAGACAUUGUGCAGCCCUGGAAGAUGGUGGCAGCGACAAUUCAGAGCGCCGUGGAUUGGUCUUAGAGGCCAGAGGCAGGGGCAGUCUGGAUAGUCAUGAUUGGAAACUUGAACCAGACUUGAAGCUGAUUUCACAAGAGAUCCGCAAGAGAGAGAGAGAGAGAAAUGCUGACCUUUUACAAAAGGCAUAUUUGCUGGGCUCGUCCAUUUUCAGUCAUCCUCAGGGGAACUGCUGACAUACUCCAGCCCCAUGAGGUCUAGCAUUGUCCUGCGUUAGGAGGAAUC
Molecule: long non-coding RNA, 388 nt
Organism: Pygocentrus nattereri (red-bellied piranha)
Lineage: Eukaryota; Metazoa; Chordata; Actinopteri; Characiformes; Serrasalmidae
Exons: 3
Source: RefSeq, a predicted model, not a curated record